AUUGAACGCUGGCGGCAGGCCUAACACAUGCAAGUCGAACGGUAGCACAGAGAGCUUGCUCUCGGGUGACGAGUGGCGGACGGGUGAGUAAUGUCUGGGAAACUGCCCGAUGGAGUGGGAUAACUACUGGAAACGGUAGCUAAUACCGCAUAACGCCGCAAGACCAAAGUGGGGGACCUUCGGGCCUCACACCAUCGGAUGUGCCCAGAUGGGAUUAGCUAGUAGGUGGGGUAAUGGCUCACCUAGGCGACGAUCCCUAGCUGGUCUGAGAGGAUGACCAGCCACACUGGAACUGAGACACGGUCCAGACUCCUACGGGAGGCAGCAGUGGGGAAUAUUGCACAAUGGGCGCAAGCCUGAUGCAGCCAUGCCGCGUGUAUGAAGAAGGCCUUCGGGUUGUAAAGUACUUUCAGCGGGGAGGAAGGCGGUGAAGUUAAUAACUUCACCGAUUGACGUUACCCGCAGAAGAAGCACCGGCUAACUCCGUGCCAGCCGCCGCAGUAA
RNAcentral lists this ribosomal RNA (504 nucleotides) under uncultured bacterium. RNAcentral's name for it is "partial 16S ribosomal RNA". It matches the Rfam family "Bacterial small subunit ribosomal RNA", at positions 30 to 523 of the family's 1533-position model. The record is from RNAcentral.